CCUCAAGAUAAGAUCUCCACAGAGGGUCGUCGAAGACUACGACGUUGAUAGGCCGCAGGUGUAAAUGCAGCAAUGUAAAAGCCGAGCGGUACUAAUUGCCCGAACACUUUCCGCG
This 115-nucleotide non-coding RNA is filed under the name Bacteroidales bacterium Barb6XT. Its description in RNAcentral is "Bacterial large subunit ribosomal RNA". It matches the Rfam family "Bacterial large subunit ribosomal RNA", at positions 2797 to 2925 of the family's 2925-position model. Lineage: Bacteria; Pseudomonadati; Bacteroidota; Bacteroidia; Bacteroidales. The record is from Rfam by way of RNAcentral.